This 78-nucleotide ribosomal RNA is filed under the name uncultured Ralstonia sp. Its description in RNAcentral is "partial 16S ribosomal RNA". Lineage: Bacteria; Pseudomonadati; Pseudomonadota; Betaproteobacteria; Burkholderiales; Burkholderiaceae. The record is from RNAcentral.
UACCCUUGACAUGCCACUAACGAAGCAGAGAUGCAUUAGGUGCUCGAAAGAGAAAGUGGACACAGGUGCUGCAUGGCU